GGCGCGCGAUACAGGGUGACAGCCCCGUACACAAAAGCGCAUGUGCUGUGAGCUCGAUGAGUAGGGCGGGACACGUGGUAUCCUGUCUGAAUAUGGGGGGACCAUCCUCCAAGGCUAAAUACUCCUGACUGACCGAUAGUGAACCAGUACCGUGAGGGAAAGGCGAAAAGAACCCCGGCGAGGGGAGUGAAAAAGAACCUGAAACCGUGUACGUACAAGCAGUGGGAGCACAGGUUUACCUGUGUGACUGCGUACCUUUUGUAUAAUGGGUCAGCGACUUAUAUUCUGUAGCAAGGUUAACCGAAUAGGGGAGCCGGAGGGAAACCGAGUCUUAAUUGGGCGUUAAGUUGCAGGGUAUAGACCCGAAACCCGGUGAUCUAGCCAUGGGCAGGUUGAAGGUUGGGUAACACUAACUGGAGGACCGAACCGACUAAUGUUGAAAAAUUAGCGGAUGACCUGUGGCUGGGGGUGAAAGGCCAAUCAAACCGGGAGAUAGCUGGUUCUCCCCGAAAGCUAUUUAGGUAGCGCCUCGUGAAUUCAUCUCCGGGGGUAGAGCACUGUUUCGGCUAGGGGGCCAUCCCGGCUUACCAACCCGAUGCAAACUGCGAAUACCGGAGAAUGUUAUCACGGGAGACACACGGCGGGUGCUAACGUCCGUCGUGAAGAGGGAAACAACCCAGACCGCCAGCUAAGGUCCCAAAGUCAUGGUUAAGUGGGAAACGAUGUGGGAAGGCCCAGACAGCCAGGAUGUUGGCUUAGAAGCAGCCAUCAUUUAAAGAAAGCGUAAUAGCUCACUGGUCGAGUCGGCCUGCGCGGAAGAUGUAACGGGGCUAAACCAUGCACCGAAGCUGCGGCAGCGACGCUUAUGCGUUGUUGGGUAGGGGAGCGUUCUGUAAGCCUGUGAAGGUGGCCUGUGAGGGUUGCUGGAGGUAUCAGAAGUGCGAAUGCUGACAUAAGUAACGAUAAAGCGGGUGAAAAGCCCGCUCGCCGGAAGACCAAGGGUUCCUGUCCAACGUUAAUCGGGGCAGGGUGAGUCGACCCCUAAGGCGAGGCCGAAAGGCGUAGUCGAUGGGAAACGGGUUAAUAUUCCCGUACUUGGUGUUACUGCGAAGGGGGGACGGAGAAGGCUAUGUUGGCCGGGCGACGGUUGUCCCGGUUUAAGCGUGUAGGUGUGUGUUCCAGGUAAAUCCGGUUCACUUUAACACUGAGGCGUGAUGACGAGGCACUACGGUGCUGAAGUAACAAAUGCCCUGCUUCCAGGAAAAGCCUCUAAGCAUCAGGUAACAUCAAAUCGUACCCCAAACCGACACAGGUGGUCAGGUAGAGAAUACCAAGGCGCUUGAGAGAACUCGGGUGAAGGAACUAGGCAAAAUGGUGCCGUAACUUCGGGAGAAGGCACGCUGACAC
RNAcentral lists this ribosomal RNA (1407 nucleotides) under Salmonella enterica subsp. enterica serovar Dublin. RNAcentral's name for it is "partial 23S ribosomal RNA". It matches the Rfam family "Bacterial large subunit ribosomal RNA", at positions 349 to 1757 of the family's 2925-position model. The record is from RNAcentral. Lineage: Bacteria; Pseudomonadati; Pseudomonadota; Gammaproteobacteria; Enterobacterales; Enterobacteriaceae.